This 1414-nucleotide ribosomal RNA is filed under the name Ctenophryne aterrima (Costa Rica Nelson frog). RNAcentral's name for it is "partial 16S ribosomal RNA". It matches the Rfam family "Bacterial large subunit ribosomal RNA", at positions 267 to 2597 of the family's 2925-position model. Lineage: Eukaryota; Metazoa; Chordata; Amphibia; Anura; Microhylidae. The record is from RNAcentral.
GCCAAAAACUCAGCCCCUCCUCACCAAAUACAACAAUCACCAUAUAUCACACUAAGUAAAACAUUCUCCCCAUCUAGUAAAGGCGAUUAAAAAAUGUCUAGGAGCUUUAAAAACAGUACCGCAAGGGAAAAGUGAAAUAAAAAUGAAAUAACUUAAAGCAUAGCAAAGCAGAGACAUGACCUCGUACCUUUUGCAUCAUGGUCUAGCUAGUCUUAUCAAGCAUAAAGGCAUUUUAGUUUGACCCCCCGAAACCAAGCGAGCUACUUCGAAACAGCCAUUAUGAGCCAACCCGUCUCUGUUGCAAAAGAGUGGGAAGAUUUCCAAGUAGAGGUGACAGACCUACCGAGCCUGGUGAUAGCUGGUUAUUCAGAAAACGGAUGUAAGUCCUCCCCCAAGCUUCCCCAUACCAUAAAAUAUAAUCCCAAGCUUAGGAGCCAUUCAAAUAAGGUACAGCCUAUUUGAAACAGGAAACAACCUCAAACAUCGGGUAAUUGCGCCAAGCAAAUGACCAAGUGGGCCUAAAAGCAGCCAACUUUAAAAAAGCGUUAAAGCUUAAUCACAGCGCUAUUUAAUUCCCCUAAAUAUUAAAAACCCUCAACCAAUACUGAAUGAAUCCAUAAUCAUAUGGAAAACCUCAUGCUAGAACUAGUAAUAAGAAGAAGAACUUCUCCUAAAUGUAAGCGUGAGCCGCAAUGAACAACUCCACGGCAAUUACCGUUGAUGAACCACUAGUAGCAACAAACUAACAAGAAAAACCUACUUACCCCAACGUCAACCUUACACCAGAACAUUACAGGAAAGAUUAAAAAAAGAGGAAGGAACUCGGCAAACUAUUAACCCCGCCUGUUUACCAAAAACAUCGCCCCCUGACCUUCAUAGGGGGUCCAGCCUGCCCAGUGACCAAGUUAAACGGCCGCGGUACCCUAACCGUGCGAAGGUAGCGCAAUCACUUGUUCUUUAAAUGAGGACUAGUAUGAACGGCAUCACGAGGGUUACACUGUCUCCCCCUUUUAAUCAAUGAAACUGAUCUUCCCGUGAAGAAGCGGGAAUAAACAUAUAAGACGAGAAGACCCCAUGGAGCUUUAAACUCAGCAUCAACUGCCCCCGCCACACCAUAUAAUACAAGCAGACCCUGACCGCUGGUUUUCGGUUGGGGUGACCGCGGAGUAAAACAAAACCUCCACAAUGAAAGAAGCACCUUCCUAAUCAAAGAGCUACAACUCAAAGAAUCAAUAAAUUGACAUAAAUUGACCCAAAUAAUUUUGAUCAACGAACCAAGUUACCCUGGGGAUAACAGCGCAAUCCAUUUCAAGAGCUCAUAUCGACAAAUGGGUUUACGACCUCGAUGUUGGAUCAGGGUAUCCCAGUGGUGCAGCCGCUACUAAAGGUUCGUUUGUUCAACGAUUAAAACCCU